CUUAGCAGCGAACGGGUGAGUAACACGUAGAUAAUCUAUCCUAUACUGGGGGAUAGCCCGAUGAAAGUUGGAUUAAUACCGCAUAUAGCUAUAUAGUUGCAUGAUUAUGUAGUGAAAGAUUUAUUGGUAUAGGAGGAGUCUGCGGCACAUUAGCUAGUAGGUGAGGUAAAGGCUUACCUAGGCGACGAUGUGUAGCCGGUCUGAGAGGAUGAACGGCCACAAUGGAACUGAGACACGGUCCAUACUCCUACGGGAGGCAGCAGUGGGGAAUAUUGCACAAUGGGGGAAACCCUGAUGCAGCAACGCCGCGUGAGUGAAGAAGGUUUUCGGAUUGUAAAGCUCUGUUAGCAGGGAAGAGGAAGGACGGUACCUGCAGAGGAAGCCACGGCUAACUACGUGCCAGCAGCCGCGGUAAUACGUAGGUGGCAAGCGUUGUUCGGAAUAACUGGGCGUAAAGGAUGCGUAGGCGGUUAAACAAGUUAUAUGUUAAAUAUAUAGGCUUAACCUGUAGAAAGCAUAUAAAACUGUUUAACUAGAGUGCAGGAGAGGUAAGUGGAAUUCCUAGUGUAGCGGUGAAAUGCGUAGAGAUUAGGAAGAACACCAGUGGCGAAGGCGACUUACUGGACUGUAACUGACGCUGAGGCAUGAGAGCAUGGGGAGC
RNAcentral lists this ribosomal RNA (661 nucleotides) under uncultured bacterium. Its description in RNAcentral is "bacterial SSU rRNA". It matches the Rfam family "Bacterial small subunit ribosomal RNA", at positions 91 to 769 of the family's 1533-position model. The record is from RNAcentral.